Molecule: long non-coding RNA, 7523 nt
Organism: Corapipo altera (White-ruffed manakin)
Lineage: Eukaryota; Metazoa; Chordata; Aves; Passeriformes; Pipridae
Exons: 3
Source: RefSeq, a predicted model, not a curated record
GGGUAGAAAUAUAGACUCGUUUAGGUUGGAAAAGGCCUCUAAGAUCAUCAAGUCCAACCAUUAACCCAGCACUGCGAAGUCCACCACUAAACCUGAAGAUGUCUAGUAAAAGCUGAAAGGUUUGAAAUGCCAGUUGACGUGAAAAUUUUAGCUGUUUCAUUUGUGCUUCUUGUGUCUUGCUGAGCUAGGUUCGUUCAUGCUUAAACAGAGUUUUGGAUUAACUGGAUUAACAGGAACAACCUGUGUGUCACUGUUUGGGAUAAAUACAGUGGAUUUCUUUUUUGGGGGCUGCAGAAAAAAAAAAAAAAGACAUAUUGGCCCUUCCAGCCACAUGCAGGAGAGAGUUGUGGAUUUCAGAGCAGAAAGCCUUUCUGUCAAUGAGCUCCUGAAGUAGGGAGGGUGCUCUUUGCUAUCUGGCAUCAAACAUGUUUUGAAAGUGUUGUUUGCUCAUUGUCAUUGGUGCCAGCCCAGAUCUCUGUUUGCCAGUGCUGGUGGUUUGGCAUCACUGAUCUAGAGUGAGAUCAAACAAGGGGGAAUAUGGAGCCAGAGCCUCGGUUUAUUUACCCUAGUGUGAGUGAAUGGAGAGAUGCCAAUGUUAAAUGUAGUUCUUCUCCUGAAGGUGAAGUCCAGGGUUACAAGUCAGUUUCUUUUGGGUUUCCUUCAUGGUUGAAAUUUGUUAACAAAACUUGAUUACUACCAUGUGCUGCCAACGGCAAACGACCUUCAUCCCAGCAUUCUUCCGUGGUGAGCUUUGCCUGGAAUUGGAGAAAAAGAAAAACUGAAAUGAACAGCUCACUGUGACUGUGCAGCUUGAGUCACUUGAACCACAUCAGAUGACAAACUAUUCUUAGUGGUUCUUCCAUGCAGUCAACUUAUCUUCCAACAAGGAAAGAAACCCUUUUUCUCAGGUGCAUGCUUCACCUUUCACCAGGAGAUUUGCUUGGCCUCUUUUGCUCCUCUGAUGCACUUGUUCCCUCAUGUUUUUCAUGUAUUCUCUGUUCCAGUAAAAGUGCUGGAUCUCACAGAAUGGAGACAGUUAGGCAAACAAGGUAAUCACUGAGGCUUUUAUCAGGCAGUUCCUCAAAAUUAAACUGAGCAACAUUUAUCUGGGAAAACAUAGCAUUGCUCUGCCUGGCGAAUUUCCAUUACUCUUGCAUAAUGUGGGUACAUUUGGCAUAGGCAUACCAUGAGGUUCAAGUCUCGGGAAAGGAUGCCAAGUAGUCACAUCUGCUGGCUUGGGUGCCAGAGCAAACACUCCACAUUGCCUGAGUCAGGGCUUAUGCUUCUUUUGGAGUUCAGAAGACUAGUGGAGGGAAAAUUGUCUGUGUAAAGGAAUUUCAGCUGAAUGUUUAUAUAGCUCUCAAAUUUCUUUGAGCUGCUCUGAGGUCUCAGCACUGAUUAUCACCCAGAUAACUGUUCCCCCAACACCAGGAUGGCUCGUUCAAGAUCAGUGAGACAAUAUACUGGGAAAGCACUAGGCUGAUAAUUUAAUGUGGCUUUUAUGAGAAAAAGAUGUGGAAUUCUGUGUUGUAUCACUUGCAAGAUCCCACCUAUUUCUGUGUCAUGGUGCAUGCAAAUGAUUCCUCAGACAUCCAAAGAAGUUAAGUUUCCUCAUAAUCCCAAGAAUACUGCCCUAGUGGGAUGAAAUGCUCUCAUUCACAACUGCCUUGUUAAGCUCAUGUAUACUCAUAUCCCAAGGAAAACUAUCCUUUAUUUUUCUUCUUCCUUGGGAACAAGAAUCUGAGACAACAAAUCAUUCAUCGAUUAAAUCCCCUGUUUGAUUUCAUAACUCCUGGGGAAUGGCUUGCCUUGCAGAUAGUAUCAACAUGUGGGGACUCACAUAUCUCCUGACUACUGUUUAAUGUAUAAAUGUAAUUACACAGUUCAGUAUGAUAAACUCGGUACAGACAGUUGACAUUGAGAAAGCAGCUAAACUGUUGUUUUCUUUGCCAGUGGGAGUAAAAGAUACACAGUGAGAUGGUUUAGAAGGUCAAUACAGAAGUGGAUACCUCUCCUGUGCCAACAGCAACAACACAAAAAAUGUUCAGGUGUAAGGCUGGAGGCAAGUUAAGUUUGGGGAAGUUGUCACAGUCCAAAACUAAGAUUCCCACAACUAUCUCAAGGCACAUGUAUCAGGUAUUACUUUUAAGUCACUCAGAGCAGUUGAAUUUCUGUAAGCCCUCUGAAAACAUAACCAGCUGUAGCAGAGAUACCAGAUUGGUACUACCCAACAUCACUUCAUUAUAGCAGGGCUGCCUUAAGAUGAUAAUUUUACUGUAUCACAAGCAGCAACAUGAUAUCAUAGAUUUUGACGGGGUGAGUCCAGGAACAUUUAAGAUUUUUUUUUUCCUCAGGAGAAUUUCCCUGGAAUAUUUUAUGGAUAUUAAGCUGCAGUGUUACUUCUUCAAACCUAUUUCUGCAACAUUUCCUUUAUCAGUUAAAGGCAUGGGUGUUCAUGAAACAUAAGUUUCAGAAUGGCAAGCACACAUUUUUCUUAAACAGCCUGAAAUAGGUAUGUCCAAGUGUUCCUAGCAAAAAUGGCUGAGUAGCCUUGGAACUUAAAAUGGACAGUGCCACAGAGUCAGUCAUACCUAAGAACUUCUGUGUGAGCUGGAUUUAACACUCAGAGUACAUUUUGGAGGUGACACAUGGGGUUUGUGUCUCAUUCAAAAGUAAUAAUUAAUUAAUUCAGAUGUUUGAUGGUAGAUAUUACUAGAAGGAGGUGUUGACUCCAUCCAUGUGAUACAUUAUUUGCUGCAAGCAAUUUAUUGCAUGUAAGACAUUAUUCUUCACUUCAAAAAGGAAGUCAGCAAGUAUCUUCUGUGGGAUAUACUUUAUUAGGACUCUCUUCAGUGGAGAUCAGCAAAGAUCUCUGAUAGACAGGGGCAUUUGCCUGUUGUUUUAUUCAGGCUUUGUCUGAACUAGAAAAGGGGACAGACAUGGUCAGUGCUUAGAGGCAGAUGCAGCCCAGUCUUGGUGGGUGGGAGGAGGAACAAUGAAGGUCUUAUCACGGCCAGCUCAGCUGCGCUUGCAGCUCUAAGCAGAGCUAAUGGAGCAGGCUGUUUUACUUUUCGGAAUUUCUGUGCUUAUUUCUGAGUAAACAGGUCUGUGGAUGUUGCCCGGAGUCUUCUCUGUUUGGCUGACUUCUUCUAAAACUCUAGAAUGUGGAGAAUGUGCUGGAUGUGAAGCACUGGGAGCUUCCUACUGAAUCAAAAUACAUGCUUUUUAAUACACUGCUGAAAUACAUCUCUGAAUAAACUGUUUAAAGUAAAGUAGCCCCCAGUAGCCAAGUUAAGUCUGCAGUGAGUUCAGACCAAGCUGCUCAGGGCUUCAUCUGGUUGGGUCUUCAAAACUUGUAAAUUUGGAUGCUGCACAACCUCUUCAAUUUCAUGGGGAAAGGACACUUGCAAUAGUUCAGUUUGUGACCAUUGAAGGUAGGAGCUCUACAUACCUUCAGCCAGGAUACUACCUCUCGGAUGCAACACCUCUUCCUCACAGCUGUGGAGUUUCCUCUUCGUUAUUGAGCCUGUAGAUUGUCAAGAUGGUUUGUCACAGGGAACAGAUUCAGUAGAGCAGGGUAGAGAUGCAAAGGGAAUUCUGGACAGUUUUAGCAUCAAAAUAUUAAAUAUUAAAGCUGCACCACUGAAUUGUGCCACCACAUCUCUGGACAGCUGAGCCUAGUAAUACAACUGCCUAUGUCAUGAUUUUAAAAGUCUCUAGAUGUUAGCAUGAGGUAUUGUGGACUGCAUUUAGAAACCUGGAGUUUUCUGUUCACUCUAACAAUGUUCCACCUUUCCCAUGUCCUGCAGAAACCUUGCAAAUCUCCACACUUGCAAAUCAUAUUUAAAAUCAAACUCUUUUGUUGUAAUCCAGCAACAGUGAAGGUAUUUUUGUAUUUACUGUGUUUCAUUUCACUAAAUAGGAUUUAAGCUAUUUUUCAUAUUCAGAAUUGCAACAAGUGGUCUACCAGACAGAAGCCAUUUAUGGUAGGAUUAUUUUAUGACAUGGAUAGUUGUGGAGAAUGGGCAAACACAAUCCACCUGCAAAGCCCCAUUCUCAGAAUAAUCUUGCAAUAAGAUACAUUAUAAAAGAGUAGUCCUAAAAGAAAAAGCCCUGGCAUGGACAGUUCCUCAAUAAUUUCUCUGCAUCAGCUUCCCGAGUAUGAAAUGCCAUCAUGACUGAGCAUAGGCAAGUGAGUGAUUUAUAAAUAAAAUUAAGCCUGCAACAGCUAAAGAUCUACACUAGACUGGAGAGUUUGUUUGCUGAAUUACUAUGCAAAUUUAACAAUUAAAUCUUCUUUCAGCUCCUAAGGGAAUGAGGGGGAUUACUAAAGAGAAGGAAUUUGACACGAUUGAAAAAAACAGAUGAAAAUGGAAGGAUUCCCUGCAGUUGAUCAGUUCUGCCCUGCACAGCAGGAAUCACACGGUUAGUAAGAGUUACUACAGAGAUUUCCAGAAAGAUUUGUACAAAGUAGAAGAAAUACAAUGAGGAAAUAUAAAACCUCCACUGUGUAAGUCAACUUUUAUUUGUCUUUUUGCAAAACUGAACUAUGAAUUUAUCUUGAAUGUCUUGAGUGAACUCCACACUUCAUGCUUCUGUAUCCAACCAACUCAAAAUAACCAAAUAACUUCAGAAAAGGAAAAAAUAAGUCAACUAAGAAACAACAACUCUCUUUGGUUUGACUGAUCUGAGCCUUUUAAAAUUUAUUUAUUUAUUUAUUUAUUUAUUUAUUUUCAUUAUCCCUGCUUCCUGAGCUUGGUAGUUAGAACAAGAGACUUCUGUUUUGACAGCCUGUCUCCUGGGUUCCCCACUGAAAAGGCCAAAGCUCCCAGUGAAGCAGCAGUAGCUGCCUUUAAACAGGAGACAAGCACUUCUUGCUUUCCUGUGCUGCAUGCAAAUAGAGAGGCUCAGUGUUACCCGGCUCUGCCAAGCUUCCCCCUAAUGUGCCUUCUGCAUGGCAAUGGCCGGUACAAGUGAUCAUCCAGCAUCGUGUCUUUGAGCCUGUUAAUGUCUCUGACCCCGGUCCACUGAUCACCCGCUUCGGCAGGGGACUCGUCAUCUGUACAAACAGCGUUUACAGAGCCUGCAGCCUCCUGGCUGUACGUGACAGAGAGCACUGCUUUAUGCUCUGGCUGUUCAGCAGAGCUCAGAAGGGCAGCUGCCCCUUCCAUGCUUGUAAGUAACACUUCCAUGACAACACCUUCAGCUCAUUAGUUUUGUUUAUUUCUUUCUAGAAUGGCAGUAUAUUUUCUAGAGUUUUUUUAAGUGCACUAAAGAAUGGGCCAUCAUAUCUGUUACUAAGCUACCCACGGGGUAAUUCAGAAGAAGGCUGGAGGUUUUAAAAACAGAGAAGAGAUGAUCACACUGCAGAAACUAUAUUUAAUCCUUCAACCCCCACCUCACCACCUGAUCCUCUGCUGCAAUGCCAGUACCAGAGCCCAAUACAUACAUUCAUAGUCACACGUGCAUGAAAGUGUGUUUAAUAAAAUGAGAAACUCUAAACUCCAAAUUGAUAAUACCUCAAGGAAAGGUAGUCAAGAUGCUGCCCUCUUCUACCUUGCUGUUCAUUUAUUUCUUUGAUGAGGGAAAAAGUGAUGCUGCCUUCCCUUUGCCAAGUAGCCAGUCAGCCCCAGAAGAGUUAAAAGAGCGGUGGACUUUUAUGGGAGUGGAAAGCCUAUGGGUUAUCAGGGUGUUUGUGAAGGUGAUCUUUGAGUUGACAUGUGUAGCGGUUUUCCUAGGGCCACACAGCAGCUCUGGCACAGGCACCAGUCACAUCUCAGUUUUAACCUGGCUGUGUCCCCCAGCCACGGACUUGAAACUGUAAAAUCUGUGCCAGUAUGAGAUAUCAGUGCCACAGAUUGGGGAAAAAACUAAUGGUCCGUUGGCACCAUGAAACAUGCCCUAAAUUUGCACCCAAGAAGCAAAGAAAAGACAGAUACAGAAACAUGUGAAAUCUCCAUUUAGUCAUAUCAAAAUCCUUUGCUAAUUGCCCUUGGGAGAAAAAAAAAAAAGAAAAGCAUUCUAUAUAAAAGCUUAUUUUCCUCCCUAAACUCCACAGAAUCUGGUCAAGCUCCAAAUCUCUAUCCAAAAAUUUUUGAUAGAUUUCACAACACAAAUAUUUCAAGGCACUCUUGUGUGGAAGACCAUGUGUGUGCAGUGGAUAUUCCCAUAUUUUUGUUCUGAAUGGCCCUUUUUUGCUCCUCCUGUAAAGACUGCACCUUAACAGGAGCGUGUAGGCAGAGAUUAGGAACAGCAACAAAACUGGUUUUCUAUUUUUUUUCCCUACACAUACCUACCCACAGCGAAUACUGUUAACUAUCAUUGCUGCUGUGAGCUGUGCACAUGAACAGCAGCUAGGUAGAUACAGCAGGCCAGGAAUAAGGGUUCAAAGACAAAUACACAAAAGACAAAUACAGUAGGAUUGGUGCAGGGGUGAAAGAGGACAGAGGCAGCAGUGCCCCUCAGCUGGCCUGCAGAUAAGGGAAGGGAAAGGGAAAGGGACUGUACUGCUCUGUCAAAAGAUACUGAGAGCAGAAGGGGGAGAGAAAAUGAGGCACUGACCACUGGUUAAAAAACCACAGAGAAGAGAAAAUGUCACCUUCAGGGAGGAGGUGGAGCAUUCUGUAAAUGCUGAUUCAGAUAUAGUCUGAACCAGGGCAGAGAGAUAUUGAAAUGAAAAGGCUUCUGUUUGCUUUAAAAAAUUGCUGUGCAAUGACUAUCUACUUGGGUCUCUGCCACUUUCUUCCCAGCAUUUUCUCCCUCCUAUAACCUGGCUUGUCUUAUUUGCAGGGGCAGUUUGGCUUACAAGCUGUUCUCUGCCAGCUCACCUGCUAUCAGAGCCAGCUUUCACGGUGGCCACAAAUUCUCCACUGCUCCUGCCUUUUGCUGACAGCACUUUCUGGAGUAAUAUGUCUGGUAGCUCAACUUUAAAGCCCACAAGAUUUGGCACACAUCAGGUCACACUUCCUUUGUGGUCUGUUCAUUAGUGUUCUCCAUGUCAGGAUGGGCAUAAGAAGAAAAGACACAACCUGUGACUGAGGUAUGCUAAGCCUUCAAUGCCUACUUGCUAUAAGCCAGAAUGCCCAUCCCUUGGUUUUAUAAGCAUCAGCUUAACUCACAACAUUAGGGGAAGGGAAAAAAAAAUUGCACCCUGAGGCAAAUUUUCUCAUUCAAGUUAAACAUUUUUCUCUUGAACAGAAGGGUCUGUAGAGGAAAUGCUGAUACAACCUUAACCUUGGCAGCACAGGCACUGAGGCUGUGUUAAUCAGUGUAAAGAGCAGAAUCUUUGAGCAUCAGUAAGGAUCCUUGAGAACCUUGCAUUGAGUGGUACAGAGAACAAAAAAAGACUUGCAACUCAACAAAAAAAGCUUAGAAAUUUCCCUUACUCUGCUGAGGUUCAAAGGCUUCUUUCUCUAUAUUUGAUAUGAAAGGAAUAAGAAAAUAAAAUGUCAUUAUCCACAGUCUUAAAGCUUAAGAUAAGUCCUGUCAGCACGCAAAUCUUGACAGCUUCAGGCCAGAAGAAA